Molecule: ribosomal RNA, 791 nt
Filed under: uncultured bacterium
Lineage: Bacteria
Description: bacterial SSU rRNA
Rfam family: Bacterial small subunit ribosomal RNA
Source: RNAcentral
AGAGUUUGAUCAUGGCUCAGAUUGAACGCUGGCGGCAGGCCUAACACAUGCAAGUCGAGCGGAUGACAGGAGCUUGCUCCUGAAUUCAGCGGCGGACGGGUGAGUAAUGCCUAGGAAUCUGCCUGGUAGUGGGGGACAACGUUUCGAAAGGAACGCUAAUACCGCAUACGUCCUACGGGAGAAAGCAGGGGACCUUCGGGCCUUGCGCUAUCAGAUGAGCCUAGGUCGGAUUAGCUAGUUGGUGAGGUAAUGGCUCACCAAGGCGACGAUCCGUAACUGGUCUGAGAGGAUGAUCAGUCACACUGGAACUGAGACACGGUCCAGACUCCUACGGGAGGCAGCAGUGGGGAAUAUUGGACAAUGGGCGAAAGCCUGAUCCAGCCAUGCCGCGUGUGUGAAGAAGGUCUUCGGAUUGUAAAGCACUUUAAGUUGGGAGGAAGGGCAUUAACCUAAUACGUUAGUGUUUUGACGUUGCCGACAGAAUAAGCACCGGCUAACUCUGUGCCAGCAGCCGCGGUAAUACAGAGGGUGCAAGCGUUAAUCGGAAUUACUGGGCGUAAAGCGCGCGUAGGUGGUUCGUUAAGUUGGAUGUGAAAGCCCCGGGCUCAACCUGGGAACUGCAUUCAAAACUGACGAGCUAGAGUAUGGUAGAGGGUAGUGGAAUUCCCGGUAGUGGUGAAAUGCGUAGAUAUCGGGAGGAACACCAGUGGCGAAGGCGACUACCUGGCCUGUUCUUGACGCUGAGGCGCGAAAGCUAGGGGAGCAAACGGGAUUAGAUACCCUAGUAGUCC